Molecule: ribosomal RNA, 1471 nt
Filed under: uncultured bacterium
Lineage: Bacteria
Description: bacterial SSU rRNA
Rfam family: Bacterial small subunit ribosomal RNA
Source: RNAcentral
GACGAACGCUGGCGGCGCGCUUAACACAUGCAAGUCGUACGGGGUUCUCUCCUUCGGGAGGGGAUCCAGUGGCGAACGGGUGCGUAACACGUGAGCAACCUGCCCAUGCAUGGGGGAUAACCCGGGGAAACCCGGGCUAAUACCGCAUACGUUCUCCGGGUCGAGUGACCUGGAGAGGAAAGCUCCUGCAAGGGAGCGUGCGUGGAGGGGCUCGCGGCGUAUCAGCUAGCUGGUGGGGUAACGGCUCACCAGGGCGACGACGCGUAGCCGAUCUGAGAGGAUGAUCGGCCACAUUGGGACUGAGAUACGGCCCAGACUCCUACGGGAGGCAGCAGUGAGGAAUCUUGCGCAAUGGGCGAAAGCCUGACGCAGCGACGCCGCGUGCGGGAGGAAGCUCUUCGGGGUGUAAACCGCUGUCAGGGGGGAAGAACGGGCGCAGGAGGCAAUGCCUGCGUUUUGACGGUACCCCCAGAGGAAGCACCGGCUAACUCUGUGCCAGCAGCCGCGGUAAUACAGAGGGUGCGAGCGUUGUUCGGAAUUACUGGGCGUAAAGCGCGCGCAGGCGGCUCUUUAAGUCCGACGGUGAAAUGCCGGGGCUCAACCCCGUGCCCGCCGCGGAUACUGGGGAGCUGGAGACGAGUAGAGGCAAGCGGAAUUCCGGGUGUAGCGGUGGAAUGCGUAGAGAUCCGGAGAACACCGGAGGCGAAGGCGGCUUGCUGGGCUUGGUCUGACGCUGAGGCGCGAAAGCGUGGGGAGCGAACAGGAUUAGAUACCCUGGUAGUCCACGCCGUAAACGAUGAAUGCCAGCCGUUGGCGAGCUUGCUCGUCGGUGGCGCAGCUAACGCAUUAAGCAUUCCGCCUGGGGAGUACGGUCGCAAGAUUAAAACUCAAAGGAAUUGACGGGGGCCCGCACAAGCGGUGGAGCAUGUGGUUUAAUUCGAGGCAACGCGCAGAACCUUACCAGCCCUUGACAUGGCAGGACGGCUUCCGGAGACGGAUUCCUUCUCGCAAGAGACCUGCGCACAGGUGCUGCAUGGCUGUCGUCAGCUCGUGUCGUGAGAUGUUGGGUUAAGUCCCGCAACGAGCGCAACCCUCGCCCUUAGUUGCCAUCAUUCAGUUGGGCACUCUAGGGGGACUGCCGGUGAUAAGCCGAGAGGAAGGUGGGGAUGACGUCAAGUCCUCAUGGCCCUUACGGGCUGGGCUACACACGUGCUACAAUGGCGGUGACAGAGGGAAGCUACUCCGCAAGGGGAAGCCAAUCCCAAAAAGCCGUCUCAGUUCGGAUUGUCCUCUGCAACUCGAGGGCAUGAAGCUGGAAUCGCUAGUAAUCGUGGAUCAGCACGCCACGGUGAAUACGUUCCCGGGCCUUGUACACACCGCCCGUCACACCAUGGGAGUUGGUUCUACCCGAAGACGGUGCGCGAACCCGCAAGGGACGCAGCCGGCCACGGUAGGGUCAGCGACUGGGGUG